CCGUUGUACUACUAAGGCUCAGCCUUGCGGUGGCCGACGCCCUUUCCCGGAUGGGAGGGGGUGUGGCCGAAACCCAUGGGCGCGUCCUCGCAGGUCGUCCAGCGUAGCAAGUCUCUCGCUGAACGUGCCGGGGAGGAGGCGCCAAUUGAAAUACACGAACGCUUGGCCUCGAAUCAGGUAGGGAUACCCGCUGAACUUAA
RNAcentral lists this unclassified non-coding RNA (200 nucleotides) under soil metagenome. Its description in RNAcentral is "partial contains internal transcribed spacer 2 and large subunit ribosomal RNA". The record is from RNAcentral.